UAGGGAAUCUUCCACAAUGGACGCAAGUCUGAUGGAGCAACGCCGCGUGAGUGAAGAAGGUUUUCGGACCGUAAAGCUCUGUUGUUGGUGAAGAAGGAUAGAGGUAGUAACUGGCCUUUAUUUGACGGUAAUCAACCAGAAAGUCACGGCUAACUACGUGCCAGCAGCCGCGGUAAUACGUAGGUGGCAAGCGUUGUCCGGAUUUAUUGGGCGUAAAGCGAGCGCAGGCGGAAGAAUAAGUCUGAUGUGAAAGCCCUCGGCUUAACCGAGGAAUUGCAUCGGAAACUGUUUUCUUGAGUGCAGAAGAGGAGAGUAGAACUCCAUGUGUAGCGGUGGAAUGCGUAGAUAUAUGGAAGAAUACCAGUGGCGAAGGCGGCUCUCUGGUCUGCAACUGACGCUGAGGCUCGAAAGCAUGGGUAGCGAACAGGAUUAGAUACCCUGGUAGUCCAUGCCGUAAACGAUGAGUGCUAAGUGUUGGGAGG
RNAcentral lists this ribosomal RNA (482 nucleotides) under uncultured bacterium. RNAcentral's name for it is "partial 16S ribosomal RNA". It matches the Rfam family "Bacterial small subunit ribosomal RNA", at positions 355 to 830 of the family's 1533-position model. The record is from RNAcentral.